GACGAACGCUGGCGGCGUGCCUAAUACAUGCAAGUAGAACGCUGAAGAGAGGAGCUUGCUCUUCUUGGAUGAGUUGCGAACGGGUGAGUAACGCGUAGGUAACCUGCCUGGUAGCGGGGGAUAACUAUUGGAAACGAUAGCUAAUACCGCAUAAUAGUAGAUGUUGCAUGACAUUUGCUUAAAAGGUGCAAUUGCAUCACUACCAGAUGGACCUGCGUUGUAUUAGCUAGUUGGUGAGGUAACGGCUCACCAAGGCAACGAUACAUAGCCGACCUGAGAGGGUGAUCGGCCACACUGGGACUGAGACACGGCCCAGACUCCUACGGGAGGCAGCAGUAGGGAAUCUUCGGCAAUGGACGGAAGUCUGACCGAGCAACGCCGCGUGAGUGAAGAAGGUUUUCGGAUCGUAAAGCUCUGUUGUAAGAGAAGAACGAGUGUGAGAGUGGAAAGUUCACACUGUGACGGUAUCUACCA
Molecule: ribosomal RNA, 474 nt
Filed under: Streptococcus sp. oral taxon 064
Lineage: Bacteria; Bacillati; Bacillota; Bacilli; Lactobacillales; Streptococcaceae
Description: bacterial SSU rRNA
Rfam family: Bacterial small subunit ribosomal RNA
Source: RNAcentral